Zalophus californianus (California sea lion) is the source of this 450-nucleotide long non-coding RNA. RefSeq lists it as uncharacterized. The transcript has 4 exons. Lineage: Eukaryota; Metazoa; Chordata; Mammalia; Carnivora; Otariidae. The record is from RefSeq and is a predicted model, not a curated record.
AAAUAGCCACAACCAGGUUGAUGGAUGUUGAAUGUUCCACUUCUGAGCUAAGAUAAACAUACCGUGGAUUACAACCAAACAAGCAGAACAGCUUUAAUGGGAGUGAUUCCCUAAAUCAUCUAAUGGGAGUGAAGCAAAAGAGAAGGACCAAAAUUAUGACUAUGUGAACAGUCUCCCACCCAUCAGAAGCCCUCCUGUGAACUGCAUUUUCAGGCAUCCACUGGAGUCUUGGAAUGUAUCCCCACAGAUAAGGGGGUUCCCUUGAAGAAGAAAUUAUGUUUCUAUUCCCUUACUUGAAUGUAAGACCACCGUGAAGAUACACUGAAAAUCUAGCACCCUGGAGGAGUAUAAAAUCCUAUUCAGUUGCUAAUCUUCCUGUCAUGGAAGUUGCUUGCCAGCUCUAAUUUUGAGUGAACACAUUAAGCACAAUGGUGAAAAUGUCAAUUAAAA